UAGUAACGGCGAGURAAGCGGGAUGAGCUCAAGCUUAAAAUCUCCGUACAAAUUUUGUAUGGCGAAUUGUAGUCUAUAGAGGCGUGGUCAGCGCAAGUACUUGGGGUAAGUUCCUUGGAAGAGGACAGCAUGGAGGGUGAUACUCCCGUUUAUCCCUGAGUGGCUUGUGCGUACGACCCGUUUUCUUUGAGUCGCGUUGUUUGAGAAUGCAGCGCAAAGUAGGUGGUAAAUUCCAUCUAAAGCUAAAUAUUGGUGCGAGACCGAUAGCAAACAAGUACCGUGAGGGAAAGAUGAAAAGAACUUUGAAAAGAGAGUUAAAGAGUACCUGAAACUGCUGAAAGGGAACCGAAUCGUUUCCAGUGUCUAUAAUCCGUGGUAUAUUUCAUUUGCUAGGGUGCUGGUGCAUGUGCUGUAGCAGUGGCCUUCUGGCUGCGCUUGGCGCGUGUGUUGUGUGCGCUUGCCGAUGCCCUGUGCUGCGGUGGGACGUCAAUGUCAGUUCGUAUGCUGCGGGAAAUGGCUGCCGAGGAGGUAGGGCUUACGCUUGCGUUUGUCUGUUAUAUCUUGGUAGACUAGUAGUCGCGGUUGGGACUGAGGUGCCUACAACGUGCUUUUGAGUGGGUCUGCGUCUCUUUGUGCGCCGUGUGCAGAUAGCUUGCUAUGUGUGUGUGGUUGUAUAUCGAUUGAUGCGGGCUU
This 693-nucleotide ribosomal RNA is filed under the name Peronospora arvensis. RNAcentral's name for it is "LSU rRNA". It matches the Rfam family "Eukaryotic large subunit ribosomal RNA", at positions 81 to 618 of the family's 3401-position model. The record is from RNAcentral. Lineage: Eukaryota; Oomycota; Peronosporomycetes; Peronosporales; Peronosporaceae.